Molecule: ribosomal RNA, 274 nt
Filed under: uncultured bacterium
Lineage: Bacteria
Description: partial 16S ribosomal RNA
Rfam family: Bacterial small subunit ribosomal RNA
Source: RNAcentral
UACGUAGGGGGCGAGCGUUGUCCGGAAUCAUUGGGCGUAAAGAGCUCGUAGGCGGUUCAGUAAGUCGGCUGUGAAAUUCCGAGGCUCAACCUCGGAACUGCAGUCGAAACUACUGUGACUCGAGUCCGGUAGAGGAGAAUGGAAUUCCCGGUGUAGCGGUGAAAUGCGCAGAUAUCGGGAGGAACACCAGUAGCGAAGGCGGUUCUCUGGGCCGGUACUGACGCUGAGGAGCGAAAGCGUGGGGAGCAAACAGGAUUAGAAACCCCCGUAGUCC